UUGCUUUUGAUGGGCGUCGACCGGCGCACGGGUGAGUAACGCGUAUCCAACCUGCCCACCACUUGGGGAUAACCUUGCGAAAGUAAGACUAAUACCCAAUGACGUCUCUAGAAGACAUCUGAAAGAGAUUAAAGAUUUAUCGGUGAUGGAUGGGGAUGCGUCUGAUUAGCUUGUUGGCGGGGUAACGGCCCACCAAGGCAACGAUCAGUAGGGGUUCUGAGAGGAAGGUCCCCCACAUUGGAACUGAGACACGGUCCAAACUCCUACGGGAGGCAGCAGUGAGGAAUAUUGGUCAAUGGACGAGAGUCUGAACCAGCCAAGUAGCGUGCAGGAUGACGGCCCUAUGGGUUGUAAACUGCUUUUAUAAGGGAAUAAAGUGAGUCUCGUGAGACUUUUUGCAUGUACCUUAUGAAUAAGGACCGGCUAAUUCCGUGCCAGCAGCCGCGGUAAUACGGAAGGUCCGGGCGUUAUCCGGAUUUAUUGGGUUUAAAGGGAGCGUAGGCCGGAGAUUAAGCGUGUUGUGAAAUGUAGACGCUCAACGUCUGCACUGCAGCGCGAACUGGUUUCCUUGAGUACGCACAAAGUGGGCGGAUUUCGUGGUGUAGCGGUGAAAUGCUUAGAUAUCACGAAGAACUCCGAUUGCGAAGGCAGCUCACUGGAGCGCAACUGACGCUGAAGCUCGAAAGUGCGGGUAUCGAACAGGAUUAGAUACCCUGGUAGUCCGC
This 725-nucleotide ribosomal RNA is filed under the name uncultured bacterium. Its description in RNAcentral is "bacterial SSU rRNA". It matches the Rfam family "Bacterial small subunit ribosomal RNA", at positions 75 to 798 of the family's 1533-position model. The record is from RNAcentral.